RNAcentral lists this ribosomal RNA (190 nucleotides) under Amanita rhacopus. RNAcentral's name for it is "partial 28S ribosomal RNA". It matches the Rfam family "Eukaryotic large subunit ribosomal RNA", at positions 1 to 175 of the family's 3401-position model. The record is from RNAcentral. Lineage: Eukaryota; Fungi; Basidiomycota; Agaricomycetes; Agaricales; Amanitaceae.
UUGACCUCAAAUCAGGUAGGACUACCCGCUGAACUUAAGCAUAUCAAUAAGCGGAGGAAAAGAAACUAACAAGGAUUCCCCUAGUAACUGCGAGUGAAGCGGGAUAAGCUCAAAUUUGAAAUCUGGCAGUCUUUUUUUUCUUCUUUGGCUGUCCGAGUUGUAAUCUAGAGAAGUGCUACCUGCACUGGAC